Molecule: ribosomal RNA, 465 nt
Filed under: uncultured bacterium
Lineage: Bacteria
Description: partial 16S ribosomal RNA
Rfam family: Bacterial small subunit ribosomal RNA
Source: RNAcentral
GACGAACGCUGGCGGCGUGCUUAACACAUGCAAGUCGAACGGAAAGGCCCUGCUUGCAGGGUACUCGAGUGGCGAACGGGUGAGUAACACGUGGGUGAUCUGCCCUGCACUUCGGGAUAAGCUUGGGAAACUGGGUCUAAUACCGGAUAGGAGCCAUCUUUAGUGUGGUGGUUGGAAAGUUUUUUCGGUGUAGGAUGAGCUCGCGGCCUAUCAGCUUGUUGGUGGGGUAAUGGCCUACCAAGGCGGCGACGGGUAGCCGGCCUGAGAGGGUGUACGGCCACAUUGGGACUGAGAUACGGCCCAGACUCCUACGGGAGGCAGCAGUGGGGAAUAUUGCACAAUGGGCGCAAGCCUGAUGCAGCGACGCCGCGUGGGGGAUGAAGGCCUUCGGGUUGUAAACUCCUUUCGCUAGGGACGAAGCUUUUUGUGACGGUACCUAGAUAAGAAGCACCGGCUAGCUACGUG